GAUUUGUCCAAAUAAACAUCCAAAUAUCCAAAUAAAUCAGAAAAUGCAUUUGGUGUUGAUCUAAAAACGCAGAUAACACAGACAACAAGGAUGACAAGAGCUGAAUGUGAAAAAAAAGAAAGAAGAACAAGAACUCCGUUUCCCAGCCUCAUUUGCAGCAGUGCCAUCAGUCAACCAAUGAAACUGUCUUGCGGAGAUACCUUCCUAUUUCGUGGUAUCGAGUUGAAGAGUGAGAUGCAUGAAUUACUGUCAGCAAACACAGAGAAGCUCGAGACCAGAGGACAGCUUCUGACAAUGGCUCAGGAGGAGCAGAGCGAGGCGGCUCAACAGACAGCAGGAGGCGAGGAGGAGAUGGACAGAUCAAAGCAGGUACUAGAUUGGGUCACUGCCCGUGAACCGUCAGUUGGCUCUGUGGACUUGUGGUCGGGCAGUUUCCAUCAGUUACAGUUCAUCUGCAACUACUGAAAUGACAGCUCAGAAUUAGUAAUGUGUUGUGUUUUCAUUUCCUUUUUUGUUUUUUGGUAGUCUGUUUGAGACGGUGUCAAUUUCUCUUUUUUAAGAGGUGUUUGCCAGCAGUUCUUUUAUGUUUCGGGCCUGCUGUGAAAUGACUGUCUACAGAUAAGUGGCAUUAUUCUGAGAAGGGCAAACACACACAUUUCUUAUUGCAAUAUUUGAAGUGCGCAUAAAGAAACUGAAGUCGAAAGUCACAGCCACUGUUCUGGUAACUGAAGUGAGAGGUACAAUAUGAGAAGUACAAAUUAGCUCAUCAAAUUUCCAAGGCCCAUGUUAGUUGAAAGCAUCUUGGUUUCUGUGGUGGAUUCUGCCCCACAGAUAGCAUCAGUCUGAACGCCAUUGACAGUCAUAGUGAGAAUCACAUAUCAACAUACUGACAUCAUCACCCACACAGUUUUCCAAAAAUUUCAAUUUGCGAAAAAUCAACUGAAUUCUUUCAGGCAAAUAUUCGAUAAAUAAUGUGAGAUGACAUCUGAAGGGCUACACUUUGUGGCUCACAGCGCUGACACUUCCUGUCGGCAGCCUAUGAUGCACAGCCCUUUUGUGAAUCAGAUUGAAAAGCUGUGAGUAACUUUAGAUGAACACGUUGAUGUGUUUGCAGUUUUCUCAUAUUGGGAGUUCUGAUUUUUAAAUUCAGGUGGGCAUUUACAGUACAUCACAUCUCUGGAAAUGCAUAAACUGAACCUAAGCAGUUUGUGAAUAUAGCAUUUUAUAGAAAGAUGCAAACUGAGGGGCUGAAGGGAUUUGAGAGAAAAGUAGUGAGUGCAGUUGGCUGCCGGCUGGGAAAAGCAGUAUGGAGCCACCAAACUGACUCAGUUUGGACUGUCUUAGUUUAAGGCCUGCACCUUCACUAUUACUCACUCUAGAGGUUUACUUCUCGGAACCAGGAACCACAUUGAGGAACUUGAUUCAAUAUGAAACCGCCUUGCUCGUUUUUGUUUUACAAUGAGUGCCACAGAAAUAGCGGUUUCGAGAUGUGAUGAUUAAAAGUAAAAUAUCGGCACUCAUUGUGGUAUUCGCCGAAUUAUGCUGCUUUGAAAUUGAUCAGGGAAGCAGCCAGUCCGCAUUUGAAUAUUUUAUGCACAGAGUUGUUUUUUUUUAUUAACUUCAAUUUAGUGACUAAUGUGUCACUCAUAGAGCUUAGAUUGCAAGAAUAAGUGUGUCAUUUCUAGAAAAAAAUCCCAUGUUUGCCUUGGUUCUCUCUAAAUUCUAUGUUCUUUUUGAGUCAGUGCAGAAUUUCCCAAACCUGAUUCUUGCUAUGCACAGGGUCUCGCUUACUUCUCUAAAAAAACUGGACAAUAUUU
This 1817-nucleotide long non-coding RNA is filed under the name Oryzias sinensis (Chinese medaka). RNAcentral's name for it is "lncRNA (ENSOSIG00000018851.1)". Lineage: Eukaryota; Metazoa; Chordata; Actinopteri; Beloniformes; Adrianichthyidae. The record is from RNAcentral.